Molecule: long non-coding RNA, 137 nt
Organism: Xenopus laevis (African clawed frog)
Lineage: Eukaryota; Metazoa; Chordata; Amphibia; Anura; Pipidae
Exons: 3
Source: RefSeq, a predicted model, not a curated record
AGGCUUUGAAGAUGAACGAGACAGAGAGAAUUCCAUCACUCCUGUCACUGUACUCCGUCCUGGAGGAUUUCAGGGUGGAGGAUACAGAUUUUGAGGCCCUCGCCUCUUAUUACGAACAUCACUACCGGGUCCAAUAU